AGGGCACCACCAGGAGUGGAGCCUGCGGCUUAAUUUGACUCAACACGGGGAAACUCACCCGGCCCGGACACCGUAAGGAUUGACAGAUUGAUAGCUUUUUCAUGAUUCGGUGGAUGGUGGUGCAUGGCCGUUCUUAGUUCGUGGAGCGAUUUGUCUGGUUUAUUCCGAUAACGAGCGAGACUCUAGCCUACUAAUAGUUCGCACAUUGUCUCUGUGUGUGUGACUUCUUAGAGGGAUUUUCGGUGUUCAGCCGCACGAAAUUGAGCAAUAACAGGUCUGUGAUGCCCUUAGAUGUCCGGGGCUGCACGCGCGCUACACUGGCAAAAUCAGCGUGCUUGUCCUUCCCCGAAAGGGGUUGGUAAACCCUUGAAAAUUUGCCGUGAUUGGGAUUGGAAAUUGCAAUUAUUUUCCAUGAACGAGGAAUUCCAAGUAAGUGCGAGUCAUCAGCUCGCGUUGAUUACGUCCCUGCCCUUUGUACACACCGCCCGUCGCUGCCCGGGACUGAGCCAUUUCGAGAAA
RNAcentral lists this ribosomal RNA (519 nucleotides) under uncultured eukaryote. RNAcentral's name for it is "SSU rRNA". It matches the Rfam family "Eukaryotic small subunit ribosomal RNA", at positions 1161 to 1706 of the family's 1831-position model. The record is from RNAcentral.